AUUUAUAUAGUUUAAAGAAAAACAUUAUAUUUUCAUUAUAAAAAUAGAAAAAUCUUAUAAAUU
This 63-nucleotide transfer RNA is filed under the name Afissula kambaitana. Its description in RNAcentral is "tRNA-Glu". Lineage: Eukaryota; Metazoa; Arthropoda; Insecta; Coleoptera; Coccinellidae. The record is from RNAcentral.